RNAcentral lists this transfer RNA (57 nucleotides) under Centrorhynchus aluconis. Its description in RNAcentral is "tRNA-Leu". The record is from RNAcentral. Lineage: Eukaryota; Metazoa; Acanthocephala; Palaeacanthocephala; Polymorphida; Centrorhynchidae.
GCCAGAUUAGCAGAUUAUGCGCGUGAUUUAGGAUUACGAAGGGAGUUGGUUGUGGCA